CAUCAAGCCAUCCAAACCUCCCUUCUCCUCCAAUCUCAUCCAUCCAUCUCUUAGCCUUAUUUUUUUUAUUAGUUCCACAUCGAAAAAAUACAAAAUCCUCCUCCCUCCUAACACCUAUAAAUAAAGCCUAAUACUUCCACUCAAAAACAUCUCUCUCUCCACACCAUAACUCUUGUAGGGGGCCUGUGUGACAAGCAGGCAUAUCCAUCUUUUAAAUCUUUUUAGUCACAUUGUUUCCACUUUCUUCCACCCUUCCAAUACGCGAGAAGGAGAGUCAGCCAGAGGGAGAUUGGACCCAAGCCAAUAGAUAGAGAGAAGUCAGGUUCUGUGAGAGAGUUUAUUUUAUUUUAUUUUUAUUUUCUGUUCCAGCUCCAAGCCUCGUUAAUGACUUAGGAGUCAAAAAAAAAUUUGUAUCAAAAUUUUUAUUCAGCAAUAAAUUAGUUUUUUC
RNAcentral lists this long non-coding RNA (448 nucleotides) under Elaeis guineensis (African oil palm). RNAcentral's name for it is "long non-coding RNA (EGUI_LNC007116)". The record is from RNAcentral. Lineage: Eukaryota; Viridiplantae; Streptophyta; Magnoliopsida; Arecales; Arecaceae.